AGAGUUUGAUCCUGGCUCAGGACGAACGCUGGCGGCGUGCCUAAUACAUGCAAGUCGAACGCACCGAGAGGGAACUUGUUCCCUUGACGUGAGUGGCGAACGGGUGAGUAACACGUGGGUAACUUGCCCUUCGGGGGGGGAUAACCAUCGGAAACGAUGACUAAUACCGCAUAGACGACCGCGUCGCAUGACGCUAUCGGGAAAGACGGCUUCGGCUGUCACUGAAGGAUGGACCCGCGGUGCAUUAGCUAGUUGGUAAGGUAACGGCUUACCAAGGCGAUGAUGCAUAGCCGACCUGAGAGGGUGAUCGGCCACAUUGGGACUGAGACACGGCCCAAACUCCUACGGGAGGCAGCAGUAGGGAAUCUUCCGCAAUGGACGCAAGUCUGACGGAGCGACGCCGCGUGUGUGAAGAAGGUCUUCGGAUCGUAAAGCACUGUUAUUAGAGAAGAACACCCCGUUAAGUAACUGUAACGGGAUUGACGGUAUCUAACAAGAAAGUGACGGCUAACUACGUGCCAGCAGCCGCGGUAAUACGUAGGUCACAAGCGUUGUCCGGAUUUAUUGGGCGUAAAGGGAGCGCAGGCGGUCGGUUAAGUCUGAUGUGAAAGCCCACGGCUCAACCGUGGAGGUGCAUUGGAAACUGGUCGGCUUGAGUACAGAAGAGGAAAGUGGAAUUCCAUGUGUAGCGGUGAAAUGCGUAGAUAUAUGGAGGAACACCAGUGGCGAAGGCGACUUUCUGGUCUGUAACUGACGCUGAGGCUCGAAAGCGUGGGGAGCAAACAGAAGUAGAUACCCUGGUAGUCCACGCCGUAAACGAUGCGUAAAGGUGUGGGGGGUUCCACCCCCUCAGUGCUGGCGUUAACGCAAUAAACACUCCGCUGGGGAGUACGGCCGCAAGGCUGAAAUUCAAAGAAUUGACGGGACCCGCACAAGCGGUGGAGCAUGUGUUUAAUUCGAAGCAACGCGAAGAACCUUACCAGGUCUUGACAUCCGCUGCAUAGCCUAGAGAUAGGUGAAGUCCUUCGGGACAGCGAGACAGGUGGUGCAUGGUUGUCGUCAGCUCGUGUCGUGAGAUGUUUGGUUAAGUCCAGCAACGAGCGCAACCCUUAUUACUAGUUGCCAGCAUUCAGUUGGGGACUCUAGUGAGACUGCCGGUGACAAACCGGAGGAAGGUGGGGAUGACGUCAAAUCAUCAUGCCCCUUAUGACCUGGGCUACACACGUGCUACAAUGGAUGGUACAACGAGGAGCGAACUCGCAAGGGCAAGCGAAUCUCUUAAAGCCAUUCUCAGUUCGGAUUGUUCUCUGCAACUCGAGAGCAUGAAGCCGGAAUCGCUAGUAAUCGCGGAUCAGCACGCCGCGGUGAAUACGUUCCCGGGUCUUGCACACACCGCCCGUCA
This 1402-nucleotide ribosomal RNA is filed under the name uncultured bacterium. Its description in RNAcentral is "bacterial SSU rRNA". It matches the Rfam family "Bacterial small subunit ribosomal RNA". The record is from RNAcentral.